RNAcentral lists this ribosomal RNA (250 nucleotides) under uncultured bacterium. RNAcentral's name for it is "partial 16S ribosomal RNA". It matches the Rfam family "Bacterial small subunit ribosomal RNA", at positions 335 to 602 of the family's 1533-position model. The record is from RNAcentral.
UGCCUACGGGAGGCAGCAGUGGGGAAUAUUGCACAAUGGGGGAAACCCUGAUGCAGCAACGCCGCGCGAGUGAAGAAGGUUUUCGGAUUGUAAAGCUCUGUUAGCAGGGAAGAGGAAGGACGGUACCUGCAGAGGAAGCCACGGCUAACUACGUGAAAGCAGCCGCGGUAAUACGUAGGUGGCAAGCGUUGAUCGGAAUAACUGGGCGUAAAGGAUGCGUAGGCGGUGAAAAAAGUUAUAUGUUAAAUAU